GGUCUUGGUGUGUGCGUGCGUCGCAGUAGGGACUUGGGACUGCGCUCGUGGCUACUGGUGCUAGCUAGUUUGCACUUACUGCCUGGGCUGGGUCGUCGGCUAGCUGCGUGUUGACUCUCGCCUGCUUGCUUUUUCCGCCUUAGGAUUUUUGUGUCCACAGGGCUUUGGGUUCCCUGCAUGGAAAUAGUUGCGCUUGAGCCAUGGCAUGCAGUAGUGGUGGACUUCUGGAAAACACUUAGGGCCUGUUCAGUGAUUUUGUCCGUACAGUGCUAGGGCCGUACAGAAAGUGGAUAUUUUCGUUUUGACAGCAUAAACCUUCAUUAUUGCCGCCUUUCUCUAUAUGAAUAUUAUUAAUCUGCUUGGUGUUCUGGCAUUACUUUUAUUACUUACAAGCGGUUUUUAUCAUAAAUGAUUAUCAUACAAUUUCAGUGGACAUGUAGC
RNAcentral lists this small RNA (441 nucleotides) under Histoplasma capsulatum var. duboisii H88. RNAcentral describes it as "Histoplasma capsulatum H88 hypothetical RNA". The record is from RNAcentral. Lineage: Eukaryota; Fungi; Ascomycota; Eurotiomycetes; Onygenales; Ajellomycetaceae.